GGCGAGUGGUGAAGGUGAACCCACUUUAUUAUGUGAGAUCCGUCAGUUUGGUAGGCGAGGUCCGGUUUGACGGACAUAUUUCGCCACCGGCCUGUUCUUUCUUCGAGUGGUUCUUUGAUGCGGUGGCGGCUCGUUUGUUCGUUCGUGGCACGUCUCCGCCGGUCGUCGUCUUUGUUCGGCCCUCGCUGCUACCGACGCCGCCGCCCACGCCCCUCGCCGCCGCCGCCGCACCACUUCGUGGAGCAGUAGCACGUCAAGUUCCUCCUGCACUGGGGCCUCGCCGACCUUCCCGAGUAGGCGCCGAUGCGGCCGGAGCAGCUGUUCCAGGGGAGGUACUUCCGGAAGGUGACCCCUUGGCUACACUCGUAUCUCUUGUACGUAGUCCCUAAGUGUGUGCAGAAGCUCAGGUGAAAACUUUCGUGUCUCCCUCAGUUCCUCAUGCAAAUGGUGGGUCGCGUGCAGCUCAAACGUUGACUAAAGAACCCAAGUUGCCUCUUUCAGGAGUAUUAGCUGAAGUUUGGGUGUCGACCGUUGAUUACCAAAGCCGGUUUAAAUGAACAACACGACCUCCCACACGCGGGUACCGACAACAGCACCAGCUUGCCUCUUGGUAUUUACAAGGGAUCCGUCUCCCUUGACGUGACGAAACGAUAACGAACAAGUUUUGUUCCUCGACGAGACGAAAAGCGCACUAAAGUUGAUCCAGUACUUUAGUGGCCGUAGAAGUAAAGGAGACCACUUAACGGCGACCUUAUGUGAUACUUAGUACGUAUAUUACAAAUAGUUUGACAAAAC
RNAcentral lists this ribosomal RNA (795 nucleotides) under Triticum aestivum (bread wheat). RNAcentral's name for it is "partial small subunit ribosomal RNA". Lineage: Eukaryota; Viridiplantae; Streptophyta; Magnoliopsida; Poales; Poaceae. The record is from RNAcentral.